GGUUAAGCGACUAAGCGUACACGGUGGAUGCCCUGGCAGUCAGAGGCGAUGAAGGACGUGCUAAUCUGCGAAAAGCGUCGGUAAGGUGAUAUGAACCGUUAUAACCGGCGAUGUCCGAAUGGGGAAACCCAGUGUGAUUCGUCACACUAUCGUUAACUGAAUACAUAGGUUAACGAGGCGAACCGGGGGAACUGAAACAUCUAAGUACCCCGAGGAAAAGAAAUCAACCGAGAUUCCCCCAGUAGCGGCGAGCGAACGGGGAGCAGCCCAGAGUCUGAAUCAGCUUGUGUGUUAGUGGAACGGUCUGGAAAGUCCGACGGUACAGGGUGAUAGUCCCGUACACCAAAAUGCACAGGCUGUGAACUCGAAGAGUAGGGCGGGACACGUGGUAUCCUGUCUGAAUAUGGGGGGACCAUCCUCCAAGGCUAAAUACUCCUGACUGACCGAUAGUGAACCAGUACCGUGAGGGAAAGGCGAAAAGAACCCCGGCGAGGGGAGUGAAAAAGAACCUGAAACCGUGUACGUACAAGCAGUGGGAGCACCUUCGGGUGUGACUGCGUACCUUUUGUAUAAUGGGUCAGCGACUUAUAUUCUGUAGCAAGGUUAACCGUAUAGGGGAGCCGCAGGGAAACCGAGUCUUAACUGGGCGUUAAGUUGCAGGGUAUAGACCCGAAACCCGGUGAUCUAGCCAUGGGCAGGUUGAAGGUUGGGUAACACUAACUGGAGGACCGAACCGACUAAUGUUGAAAAAUUAGCGGAUGACUUGUGGCUGGGGGUGAAAGGCCAAUCAAACCGGGAGAUAGCUGGUUCUCCCCGAAAGCUAUUUAGGUAGCGCCUCGUGAAUUCAUCUUCGGGGGUAGAGCACUGUUUCGGCUAGGGGGUCAUCCCGACUUACCAACCCGAUGCAAACUACGAAUACCGAAGAAUGUUAUCACGGGAGACACACGGCGGGUGCUAACGUCCGUCGUGAAGAGGGAAACAACCCAGACCGCCAGCUAAGGUCCCAAAGUCAUGGUUAAGUGGGAAACGAUGUGGGAAGGCACAGACAGCCAGGAUGUUGGCUUAGAAGCAGCCAUCAUUUAAAGAAAGCGUAAUAGCUCACUGGUCGAGUCGGCCUGCGCGGAAGAUGUAACGGGGCUAAACCAUGCACCGAAGCUGCGGCAGCGACACUAUGUGUUGUUGGGUAGGGGAGCGUUCUGUAAGCCUGCGAAGGUGACCUGUGAGGGUUGCUGGAGGUAUCAGAAGUGCGAAUGCUGACAUAAGUAACGAUAAAGCGGGUGAAAAGCCCGCUCGCCGGAAGACCAAGGGUUCCUGUCCAACGUUAAUCGGGGCAGGGUGAGUCGACCCCUAAGGCGAGGCCGAAAGGCGUAGUCGAUGGGAAACAGGUUAAUAUUCCUGUACUUGGUGUUACUGCGAAGGGGGGACGGAGAAGGCUAUGUUAGCCGGGCGACGGUUGUCCCGGUUUAAGCAUGUAGGCUGGUUGUCCAGGCAAAUCCGGAUAAUCAAGGCUGAGGUGUGAUGACGAGGCACUACGGUGCUGAAGUAACAAAUGCCCUGCUUCCAGGAAAAGCCUCUAAGCAUCAGGUAACAUUAAAUCGUACCCCAAACCGACACAGGUGGUCAGGUAGAGAAUACCAAGGCGCUUGAGAGAACUCGGGUGAAGGAACUAGGCAAAAUGGUGCCGUAACUUCGGGAGAAGGCACGCUGGUGUGUAGGUGAAGUCCCUGCGGAUGGAGCUGAGACCAGUCGAAGAUACCAGCUGGCUGCAACUGUUUAUUAAAAACACAGCACUGUGCAAACACGAAAGUGGACGUAUACGGUGUGACGCCUGCCCGGUGCCGGAAGGUUAAUUGAUGGGGUUAUCCGUAAGGAGAAGCUCUUGAUCGAAGCCCCGGUAAACGGCGGCCGUAACUAUAACGGUCCUAAGGUAGCGAAAUUCCUUGUCGGGUAAGUUCCGACCUGCACGAAUGGCGUAAUGAUGGCCAGGCUGUCUCCACCCGAGACUCAGUGAAAUUGAACUCGCUGUGAAGAUGCAGUGUACCCGCGGCAAGACGGAAAGACCCCGUGAACCUUUACUAUAGCUUGACACUGAACAUUGAGCCUUGAUGUGUAGGAUAGGUGGGAGGCUUUGAAGCGUGGACGCCAGUCUGCGUGGAGCCAACCUUGAAAUACCACCCUUUAAUGUUUGAUGUUCUAACGUUGGCCCCUGACCGGGGUUGCGGACAGUGUCUGGUGGGUAGUUUGACUGGGGCGGUCUCCUCCCAAAGCGUAACGGAGGAGCACGAAGGUUAGCUAAUCCUGGUCGGACAUCAGGAGGUUAGUGCAAUGGCAUAAGCUAGCUUGACUGCGAGCGUGACGGCGCGAGCAGGUGCGAAAGCAGGUCAUAGUGAUCCGGUGGUUCUGAAUGGAAGGGCCAUCGCUCAACGGAUAAAAGGUACUCCGGGGAUAACAGGCUGAUACCGCCCAAGAGUUCAUAUCGACGGCGGUGUUUGGCACCUCGAUGUCGGCUCAUCACAUCCUGGGGCUGAAGUAGGUCCCAAGGGUAUGGCUGUUCGCCAUUUAAAGUGGUACGCGAGCUGGGUUUAGAACGUCGUGAGACAGUUCGGUCCCUAUCUGCCGUGGGCGCUGGAGAAUUGAGGGGGGCUGCUCCUAGUACGAGAGGACCGGAGUGGACGCAUCACUGGUGUUCGGGUUGUCAUGCCAAUGGCACUGCCCGGUAGCUAAAUGCGGAAGAGAUAAGUGCUGAAAGCAUCUAAGCACGAAACUUGCCCCGAGAUGAGUUCUCCCUGAGACUUUAAGUCUCCUGAAGGAACGUUGAAGACGACGACGUUGAUAGGCCGGGUGUGUAAGCGCAGCGAUGCGUUGAGCUAACCGGUACUAAUGAACCGUGAGGCUUAACCUU
Molecule: ribosomal RNA, 2902 nt
Filed under: Klebsiella pneumoniae
Lineage: Bacteria; Pseudomonadati; Pseudomonadota; Gammaproteobacteria; Enterobacterales; Enterobacteriaceae
Also listed under: 1 other name
Description: 23S ribosomal RNA
Rfam family: Bacterial large subunit ribosomal RNA
Source: RNAcentral